GGCCGGCUAGGUCAGUUGGUAGAGCGUCGUGCUAAUGACACGAAUGUCUUGGGUCCGAACCUCAAGCGGGCCA
Hypholoma sublateritium FD-334 SS-4 is the source of this 73-nucleotide non-coding RNA. The record is from the annotation of a GenBank genome assembly. NCBI's taxonomy places the organism in Eukaryota, Fungi, Basidiomycota, Agaricomycetes, Agaricales, Strophariaceae.